Molecule: long non-coding RNA, 1692 nt
Organism: Dalotia coriaria
Lineage: Eukaryota; Metazoa; Arthropoda; Insecta; Coleoptera; Staphylinidae
Exons: 5
Source: RefSeq, a predicted model, not a curated record
AACUUGUCUAUCAUUUUCAUAAAUAAUUUGUGUAAUUAGCACACAGCAAAUUUGUGAAAAUGUCAUUUUUGUGCUUCGGUAUGCUAAUUUUCGGUUGUUUUAUGUGUCUAGCGUUCGAACGGAAUGUCCUAGGACAACGAUUCUUUCAUCAGAUUAUAAGUAUUGAAUUUGUUUAUCAUUUUCAUAAAUAAUUUGUGUGAUUAGCAUACAGGAAACCUGUGAAAAUGUCAUUUUUGUGAUUUGAUAUGCUAAUUUUCGGUUGUUUUAGGUGUCUAGCAGGCAAACGGAAUGUCCUAGGACAACGAUUCUUUCAUCAGAUUGUGUCUAGCGGGCGAACGGAAUGUCCUAGGACAACGAUUCUUUCAUCAGAUUGUGUCUAGCGGGCGAACGGAAUGUCCUAGGACAACGAUUCUUUCAUCAGAUUGUGUCUAGCGGGCGAACGGAAUGUCCUAGGACAACGAUUCUUUCAUCAGAUUGUGUCUAGCGGGCGGACGAAAUGUUUAAAACAACGGUCCUAUUACGAUAUUGUAAGUAUUGAAAUUGUUUCUUAUUUUUGUAAAUAAUUUUCGUGUUACAUACAUUAAAAUGUAAAUUAAAUUUGUACACACAAUUAAAUAUUAACACACACAUUACAGAUUUCGUAGUAAUUUAUUUCAAGUUGGUGGUCCCAAAACUAGAUGGUGCCACUAUCAGGCUAUCUAAUAUAUUUUGUUCCGUCUCACCCAGAUGGCGCUCGUGUCAGUUAUCUAUUUUGUUUUGUUCCGCCACGGCCAGAUGGCGCUUUUAUCGAUUUGGUUUGAAAUCUUACUUCAUGUUUGUUUAGUUUUGGGGCACAAAGUUGCAGUGCGCACGUCACUUUUAUACAUAACGUUUAAGUUUAACAAAACGAGAAAUAACUUUGCUUUAGGUGCUUUAGGUGUCUUGCGGGCGAACGCGAUGUCGUAGAACCACCAUUCUUUCAUAAGUAUUCAAAUUGUAUACCAUUGUUAUAUACAUUAUUUGUGUUUAAUACUAGCGGAAUCCACAAAUGUCGUAUUUUUCCACAGUACGUUAACUAAAAUCAUUUCCUCCAAAUAAUGUUGUUUGUAAACUGAUAACUUUAUUUUAUAACUUGCAAUAUAUUUGUAAUAGCAUUUUUAUCGUGCGCAGGUAGAAGAAUGCCCCUCCAACUGCGGAUCGGUUAUCAAUUCUCUUACCCGCUUAGUCCGACUUAGUCAGUUGAGCGCUGCCUCGUGGUGCGCACGUGUUUUAUUCAUUAAUCAAACAAGGUGACGAUUUUACGCGUUUCUUAAUAUGUUAAUUCUGUAGUAAUGCUAGAAUCGGUUGACCAUCAGAGAAAUUUAGUAGUAACAGCUCAGUGUAGCUCACAACGAGUGAUUUGAGUAAUACUUUGCGGUGUGUGCGUGGCGUCCGUCGGAUAUGUUCCGCCGGUGGCUAUGUGUUUGAUGUGAGUACAAGUUUUCCAUUUGUGAUAUCCGCGUGGAAUAGUAAAGAAGUGCGUAUCAUCAAUUCAACUUACAAUUUGCGGAAACGUGUUUGUGCGCUUUAGUACUUUAAGGAUAGAAGAACAAAGGAGUAAGUAACAUCAAGUAGAAUUUUACUUUUAUUUAACUCUUUAAAUCUUACAGGCACCAUAUUAUUGCUUUAUAAUAAUUGUAAAUGAUUCAGUCAAUAAAGGAUAAUUUAAUUUCA